ACUUAACCUAACAAAUCAUUAAUGGAAGAGGCAUUCAGAAAAACCUGAAGUAAGAAAAUUAGAUAAUGUGGGUUAUAGUCUCUACUGGGUCCAUCUUUCUUAGCAAAGUACAAAUAUUUAGUAACAUCAUCAUCUGAGAAUAAGGACGGGAAAAAAGGAGUAGGCGAGGUUUGAAGAGGCAAGAGUAAAACAGUUGCACAGGAUGGCAAAAGAGAGAAUGGA
This is a long non-coding RNA of Talpa occidentalis (Iberian mole), 222 nucleotides long. RefSeq lists it as uncharacterized. Lineage: Eukaryota; Metazoa; Chordata; Mammalia; Eulipotyphla; Talpidae. The record is from RefSeq and is a predicted model, not a curated record. The transcript is spliced from 3 exons.